This is a long non-coding RNA of Scophthalmus maximus (turbot), 441 nucleotides long. RefSeq lists it as uncharacterized. The transcript has 3 exons. The record is from RefSeq and is a predicted model, not a curated record. NCBI's taxonomy places the organism in Eukaryota, Metazoa, Chordata, Actinopteri, Pleuronectiformes, Scophthalmidae.
UGUGUGUGUGUGUGUGUGUGUGUGUGUGUGUGUUAGUAGUUUGGACUUGAACUCAGGUUCAGGGGAGUUCAGUGACUAACUGAAGACUCUCUCUCUCUGUGUCUCCGUCAAUCUAGAAAAGUCUUGAAUUCAAUUUCCUCAACAAACAAAAGUGAUUUCACGUCUUUAAUAUUUAUUUUUACCUCCUGCAGCGACAUCAUAUCUCUGUCAGCUCGGUCCCGUGAACUGAUUAACGACAUCACAGAUCAGCAGCAGCAGAAACGCUGAUACGCCCAGUGAGACAUGUGGAGCAGAUUAGACACGGAGGGGCCGAGCUGAUGACCUCGUGGCAGGUCAGUGACCUAUAGCAACCUGAAAACACCUCACUUGACCUCUUGACCUGACCUCUCGCCCGCCGCGGUGCUCACCCUGCGGGGGGGGGGGGGGGGGGGGGCUCCUCCC